This 464-nucleotide ribosomal RNA is filed under the name uncultured bacterium. RNAcentral describes it as "partial 16S ribosomal RNA". It matches the Rfam family "Bacterial small subunit ribosomal RNA", at positions 28 to 523 of the family's 1533-position model. The record is from RNAcentral.
GAUGAACGCUGGCGGCGUGCCUAACACAUGCAAGUCGAGCGAACCCUUCGGGGUGAGCGGCGGACGGGUGAGUAACGCGUGGGUAACCUGCCCUGUACACACGGAUAACAUACCGAAAGGUAUGCUAAUACGAGAUAAUAUAUUUUAAUCGCAUGGUUAAGAUAUCGAAGCUCCGGCGGUACAGGAUGGACCCGCGUCUGAUUAGCUAGUUGGUGAGGUAAUGGCUCACCAAGGAGACGAUCAGUAGCCGACCUGAGAGGAUGAUCGGCCACACUGGAACUGAGACACGGUCCAGACUCCUACGGGAGGCAGCAGUGGGAAUAUUGCACAAUGGGCGAAAGCCUGAUGCAGCAACGCCGCGUGAGCGAUGAAGGCCUUCGGGUCGUAAAGCUCUGUCCUCAAGGAAGAUAAUGACGGUACUUGAGGAGGAAGCCCCGGCUACUACGUGCCAGCCGCCGCCGUAA